UCGAGAAUAUUCGGCAAUGGGCGCAAGCCUGACCGAGCGACGCCGCGUGCAGGAUGAAGGUCUUAGGAUUGUAAACUGCUUUUCUACAGGAAAAAGUUAUUGAUGGUACUGUAGGAAUAAGUGGCUGCAAACUUCGUGCCAGCAGCCGCGGUAAUACGAAGGCCACAAGCGUUAUCCGGAUUUAUUGGGCGUAAAGAGUGUGUAGGAGGAUUUUUAAGUUUGGUGUUAAAUUCCAUCGCUUAACGGUGGAGCCGCAUUGAAUACUGAAAAUCUAGAGUGUGCGAGAGGUCAAUAGAACUCAUGGUGUAGGGGUGAAAUCCGUUGAUAUCAUGGGGAAUACCAAAGGCGAAGGCAUUUGACUGGCGCAUUACUGACUCUGAGGCACGAAAGCGUGGGGAGCAAAAAGG
RNAcentral lists this ribosomal RNA (407 nucleotides) under uncultured bacterium. RNAcentral's name for it is "bacterial SSU rRNA". It matches the Rfam family "Bacterial small subunit ribosomal RNA", at positions 355 to 776 of the family's 1533-position model. The record is from RNAcentral.